Molecule: ribosomal RNA, 254 nt
Filed under: uncultured bacterium
Lineage: Bacteria
Description: partial 16S ribosomal RNA
Rfam family: Bacterial small subunit ribosomal RNA
Source: RNAcentral
CGGAGGAUCCAAGCGUUAUCCGGAAUCAUUGGGUUUAAAGGGUCCGUAGGCGGUUUAGUAAGUCAGUGGUGAAAGCCCAUCGCUCAACGGUGGAACGGCCAUUGAUACUGCUAGACUUGAAUUAUUGGGAAGUAACUAGAAUAUGUAGUGUAGCGGUGAAAUGCUUAGAGAUUACAUGGAAUACCAAUUGCGAAGGCAGGUUACUACCAAUAUAUUGACGCUGAUGGACGAAAGCGUGGGGAGCGAACAGGAUU